UGUGGGAGCGAGCCUGCUCGCGAUAGCGUCGGCACAAUCAAUAUCAAUGUGUCGGAAAGUUCGCUAUCGCGAGCAGGCUCGCUCCCACA
Molecule: non-coding RNA, 89 nt
Filed under: Pseudomonas sp. LAIL14HWK12:I2
Lineage: Bacteria; Pseudomonadati; Pseudomonadota; Gammaproteobacteria; Pseudomonadales; Pseudomonadaceae
Source: RNAcentral